CAGCCGCCGCGGGAAUACGCAGGUGGCAAGCGUUGUCCGGAAUUAUUGGGCGUAAAGCGCGCGCAGGUGGUUUAAUAAGUCUGAUGUGAAAGCCCACGGCUCAACCGUGGAGGGUCAUUGGAAACUGUUAAACUUGAGUGCAGGAGGGAAAAGUGGAAUUCCUAGUGUAGCGGUGAAAUGCGUAGAGAUUAGGAGGAACACCAGUGGCGAAGGCGGCUUUUUGGCCUGUAACUGACACUGAGGCGCGAAAGCGUGGGGAGCAAACAGGAUUAGAUACCCGCGUAGUCCCUGUCUCUUAUAC
RNAcentral lists this ribosomal RNA (301 nucleotides) under uncultured bacterium. Its description in RNAcentral is "partial 16S ribosomal RNA". It matches the Rfam family "Bacterial small subunit ribosomal RNA", at positions 509 to 807 of the family's 1533-position model. The record is from RNAcentral.